Molecule: ribosomal RNA, 277 nt
Filed under: uncultured bacterium
Lineage: Bacteria
Description: partial 16S ribosomal RNA
Rfam family: Bacterial small subunit ribosomal RNA
Source: RNAcentral
GACGAACGCUGGCGGCGCGCUUAACACAUGCAAGUCGAGCGAUCGGCUGAGAGGGGGUAACCCCUCUCGGUACGGAGCGGCGAACGGGUGAGUAACACGUGAGGAACCUGCCCCGGGCACCGGGAUAACGGCGGGAAACCGCCGCUAACACCGGAUAAUCUCCUCCAACCGCAUGGCGGGAGGAGAAAAAGCCUGCUGGCCCGGGAUGGUCUCGCGGCCCAUCAGCUUGUUGGCGGGGUAACGGCCCACCAAGGCAGCGACGGGUAGCUGGUGUGAG